UGAGAUGUGAAGCAGGAUCAUGUCUCACCCCUUGGCAGUGGAUGCUCACAAGGCUAUAAGCCCAGCAGGACAUGGAAAAGCCCCAUCUGCCCUCAGCUGCUCCAUUCUCCAUUGAUAAACACAGGAGAAACCCCAGAUUAGAGGGUUAUUGCAUUGUGCCACUGGGACCCCCCUGACCAUGACAUGUCCUAUGCGAGAACCCAUUUGGACUUCGAUGACCAUUCCACAUCCUGCUCAAGAUCCUGUUGGAUCCAGACCCUGUUGGAACCCCAUUGAUAGUGACCAUGCUAUGUUCCACUCAAACCCCAUUGAGACCCCACUGACCCCUGUCAUAUUAUACACUGGGGUCCCCCUGUCCACACCCUUGGGACCCCAUGGGCCACACCAUCUCCCACUGACCACGCUGUGUCUCAUUCAAGUCCCUACUGAUUGCUCCACAUCCCACAAAAGACCCCACUGGCACCUCACUGACCAUGUUAUAUCUUAUGUAAAGACUACACUGGGGUCCCACUGUCCAUGCCCUUGGGACCCCAUUGACUACACCGUGUCCCACUUAAGACCCUACUGACUGCUCCACAUCCCGCACAAGACCCCAUUGGGACCUCAUUGCCCCCCUGUGUCACUCCCAGAGUGGCUGAUAAACCCAGGACUGUUCUUCCCCCAUCCCCCCCAAAUGGAUUGAGCCGCGUUCCUGAGCUGCUCAUUACACAGUAAUGAGAAAGUUGAGCUGCUGCUCUGCUGCUUAUCGAGGUAACAUCCAUUAUGGAUGGCACUUGGUGCUAAACAGAGGGUGUGAAUGUUUGAAGGAACACGUGCUGUUCCUGUUGGAUCAAUACAGAGCCAAAUUCCCACCCCCGAGGAAGAAAUGCUUCCCCACUCCAGGGCUUUGCACAGCUUCCAAAACACGGCCAGAACGGGAUCAUUUCCAGCCCAGCUCUGCAAAAGCAAACUCUGCUGCUGCUCAUAGGGGUGCUGCUGCCUCCAUCCCUCAUCCACAGCCACAAAAAACUGCUGGAAAGCACUGAGAAAUGGAGAAAACUGAGGCAGAUGAACACCAGCGCUCUGCCUUUGGAUGCUGAGGAGCUACAGCGGAGGCAGGGAAAUUCUUCAGCACCAGCAUCAGUGAAGCAUAUAAGACCAGAUUAUUUGUGUUCCCGACUUGCUGAUGCAAGAUGAAAAAUACAGCAAACUGCAGCUGCUGAAAUCAGCUCUUUUUCCUCCCCUCUCCUUCCCCUUCCCCCUAGCUGAGGUUAGUGUUUUGCAAAAAGGUUUUUAUAUUCUGGGAGCUAAAACCUGUCCGUUGCAAUCAGACACAAAGCUCGGGGAGUUUGUCAGGCUCCGCCGCCGCGCUGGGAAAAGCUUCUUGGCACAAAAGAGCUGCACAAAUUGCAGCGAGUUGGGCUUGAUUGCACCCUGGGAGCUCAGCUUGGGGACUGGGAGGCCCAUGGGGAGGAAUUCAUAGCCCCAGGGCUGCCCCUUUGUAGAGCAUCCCUUGCACAGUGCUGUACAGAGAGGGCUCCAGGCUGAGAUAACAGCAGGGUAGUGCUAUGAA
Non-coding RNA from Coturnix japonica (Japanese quail), 1552 nucleotides. The record is from RefSeq and is a predicted model, not a curated record. NCBI's taxonomy places the organism in Eukaryota, Metazoa, Chordata, Aves, Galliformes, Phasianidae.